This 497-nucleotide ribosomal RNA is filed under the name uncultured bacterium. RNAcentral describes it as "partial 16S ribosomal RNA". It matches the Rfam family "Bacterial small subunit ribosomal RNA", at positions 28 to 507 of the family's 1533-position model. The record is from RNAcentral.
GACGAACGCUGGCGGUGUGCCUAAUACAUGCAAGUAGAACGCUGAAGAGAGGAGCUUGCUCUUCUUGGAUGAGUUGCGAACGGGUGAGUAACGCGUAGGUAACCUGCCUUGUAGCGGGGGAUAACUAUUGGAAACGAUAGCUAAUACCGCAUAACAAUGGAUGACACAUGUCAUUUAUUUGAAAGGGGCAAUUGCUCCACUACAAGAUGGACCUGCGUUGUAUUAGCUAGUAGGUGAGGUAAUGGCUCACCUAGGCGACGAUACAUAGCCGACCUGAGAGGGUGAUCGGCCACACUGGGACUGAGACACGGCCCAGACGCCUACGGGAGGCAGCAGUAGGGAAUCUUCGGCAAUGGGGGCAACCCUGACCGAGCAACGCCGCGUGAGUGAAGAAGGUUUUCGGAUCGUAAAGCUCUGUUGUAAGUCAAGAACGGGUGUGAGAGUGGAAAGUUCACACUGUGACGGUAGCUUACCAGAAAGGGACGGCUAACUACGUG